CCUACGGGAGGCUGCAGUGAGGAAUAUUGGUCAAUGGGCGCGAGCCUGAACCAGCCAAGUAGCGUGAAGGAUGACUGCCCUACGGGUUGUAAACUUCUUUUAUAAAGGAAUAAAGUGAGGCACGUGUGCCUUUUUGUAUGUAUUUUAUGAAUAAGGAUCGGCUAACUCCGUGCCAGCAGCCGCGGUAAUACGGAGGAUCCGAGCGUUAUCCGGAUUUAUUGGGUUUAAAGGGAGCGUAGAUGGGUUGUUAAGUCAGUUGGGAAAGUUUGCGGCUCAACCGUAAAAUUGCAAUUGAUACUGGCAGCCUUGAGUACAGUUGAGGUAGGCGGAAUUCGUGGUGUAGCGGUGAAAUGCUUAGAUAUCACGAAGAACUCCGAUUGCGAAGGCAUCUCACGAAGCCGCGAUUGACGCUGAUGCACGAAAGCGUGGAUAUCAAACAGGAUUAGAUACCCGGGUAGUC
This 460-nucleotide ribosomal RNA is filed under the name uncultured bacterium. RNAcentral's name for it is "partial 16S ribosomal RNA". It matches the Rfam family "Bacterial small subunit ribosomal RNA", at positions 338 to 795 of the family's 1533-position model. The record is from RNAcentral.